UACUCGAGUGGCGAACGGGUGAGUAACACGUGGGUGAUCUGCCCUGCACUUCGGGAUAAGCCUGGGAAACUGGGUCUAAUACCGGAUAGGAGCCAUUUUAGCGUGAUGGUUGGAAAGUUUUUUCGGUGUAGGAUGAGCUCGCGGCCUAUCAGCUUGUUGGUGGGGUAAUGGCCUACCAAGGCGGCGACGGGUAGCCGGCCUGAGAGGGUGGACGGCCACAUUGGGACUGAGAUACGGCCCAG
This 242-nucleotide ribosomal RNA is filed under the name uncultured Actinomycetales bacterium. RNAcentral describes it as "partial 16S ribosomal RNA". It matches the Rfam family "Bacterial small subunit ribosomal RNA", at positions 88 to 334 of the family's 1533-position model. The record is from RNAcentral. Lineage: Bacteria; Bacillati; Actinomycetota; Actinomycetes; Actinomycetales.